RNAcentral lists this ribosomal RNA (1379 nucleotides) under Vibrio sp. M6-26-2. RNAcentral describes it as "bacterial SSU rRNA". It matches the Rfam family "Bacterial small subunit ribosomal RNA", at positions 90 to 1465 of the family's 1533-position model. The record is from RNAcentral. Lineage: Bacteria; Pseudomonadati; Pseudomonadota; Gammaproteobacteria; Vibrionales; Vibrionaceae.
GUCGAGCGGCGGACGGGUGAGUAAUGCCUAGGAAAUUGCCCUGAUGUGGGGGAUAACCAUUGGAAACGAUGGCUAAUACCGCAUGAUGCCUACGGGCCAAAGAGGGGGACCUUCGGGCCUCUCGCGUCAGGAUAUGCCUAGGUGGGAUUAGCUAGUUGGUGAGGUAAGGGCUCACCAAGGCGACGAUCCCUAGCUGGUCUGAGAGGAUGAUCAGCCACACUGGAACUGAGACACGGUCCAGACUCCUACGGGAGGCAGCAGUGGGGAAUAUUGCACAAUGGGCGCAAGCCUGAUGCAGCCAUGCCGCGUGUGUGAAGAAGGCCUUCGGGUUGUAAAGCACUUUCAGUCGUGAGGAAGGUAGUGUAGUUAAUAGCUGCAUUAUUUGACGUUAGCGACAGAAGAAGCACCGGCUAACUCCGUGCCAGCAGCCGCGGUAAUACGGAGGGUGCGAGCGUUAAUCGGAAUUACUGGGCGUAAAGCGCAUGCAGGUGGUUUGUUAAGUCAGAUGUGAAAGCCCGGGGCUCAACCUCGGAAUAGCAUUUGAAACUGGCAGACUAGAGUACUGUAGAGGGGGGUAGAAUUUCAGGUGUAGCGGUGAAAUGCGUAGAGAUCUGAAGGAAUACCGGUGGCGAAGGCGGCCCCCUGGACAGAUACUGACACUCAGAUGCGAAAGCGUGGGGAGCAAACAGGAUUAGAUACCCUGGUAGUCCACGCCGUAAACGAUGUCUACUUGGAGGUUGUGGCCUUGAGCCGUGGCUUUCGGAGCUAACGCGUUAAGUAGACCGCCUGGGGAGUACGGUCGCAAGAUUAAAACUCAAAUGAAUUGACGGGGGCCCGCACAAGCGGUGGAGCAUGUGGUUUAAUUCGAUGCAACGCGAAGAACCUUACCUACUCUUGACAUCCAGAGAACUUUCCAGAGAUGGAUUGGUGCCUUCGGGAACUCUGAGACAGGUGCUGCAUGGCUGUCGUCAGCUCGUGUUGUGAAAUGUUGGGUUAAGUCCCGCAACGAGCGCAACCCUUAUCCUUGUUUGCCAGCGAGUAAUGUCGGGAACUCCAGGGAGACUGCCGGUGAUAAACCGGAGGAAGGUGGGGACGACGUCAAGUCAUCAUGGCCCUUACGAGUAGGGCUACACACGUGCUACAAUGGCGCAUACAGAGGGCGGCCAACUUGCGAAAGUGAGCGAAUCCCAAAAAGUGCGUCGUAGUCCGGAUUGGAGUCUGCAACUCGACUCCAUGAAGUCGGAAUCGCUAGUAAUCGUGGAUCAGAAUGCCACGGUGAAUACGUUCCCGGGCCUUGUACACACCGCCCGUCACACCAUGGGAGUGGGCUGCAAAAGAAGUAGGUAGUUUAACCUUCGGGGGGACGCUUACCACUUUGU